Long non-coding RNA from Papaver somniferum (opium poppy), 1032 nucleotides. RefSeq lists it as uncharacterized. Lineage: Eukaryota; Viridiplantae; Streptophyta; Magnoliopsida; Ranunculales; Papaveraceae. The record is from RefSeq and is a predicted model, not a curated record. The transcript has 8 exons.
UCAGACCAAAAUCCUUUCUUACCCAACUCUCUUUUCUCUUUCUUCCCCUUUCUAUAGUUUCUCAAUCUCUAAUUCAUAUCAGUCUCUCACUCGUUAUGUCUCGAUUUAUUCUUUUCGUUCUUAUUUAAAUUUUGAUUUUGUUUUUAAUUCUUAUUGGAAGCGACGACGGAGAAUACCUAAAACCCAGAAUGCAAACUCUUCUCCAAACAUCAUCAAUGAUUGAAGAUGUCGUCAAGAUCUGGGUGAUAUGAGGGACUUUAUCAUCAUAUCACCAGGUUGACAUUAUUGCUUUGACCAAGGGAAUAGUUCAUUGCUGCAACCAAAUCGAUAUGGAGGGAAGAAGAGAAUCACGAGACCUCACUGAUUGAACAUGUACUGUAUUUGGAGCCAAUUGAAGUAAACAUAUUUCGUGGAUUCACAUUACCUGAUGCUCCAAGGUUUGCACCGAUUUUUGGAGGACGAAAGAGGAAGUCAGGUUUGAAUACCAAGAAGUUACAAUGCCAUCUGCUCUUGCCCCAGAAACGUCCAGCUUCUGUCAAUGGAGGAGCUGCGGGAGAGUUUUUGAUCCUCAUCUUCCCAGGAACUAUCGGAACAUGGUGGCUACAAUGAAGUUCAUUCCUCGACCUGUAGAUAUUUUGAUGACCUCGCAUUACAUAGGUGGCUAAGAUUGUCGCGGAGUGUAUGAAUAAUUAUCUGCUCUUUGAUCACUUCUUGCAAGUUCUUAUUGUUCCAACGGAGAAAGUUCAUCCUAAACUAUAAGCAAUUCUUUUGAUUUGUUUAGUAAUGACUGUAAUACAAGAUGUUAUACUAGUUUUAAGGAUUUUACUUUGUGCGUCGGGAGUAGAGGAUACCGACUUAUCUAGAUAUUGUAUGUAACAAACCAUUUCACCUCAGAUUUCUCCCUCAAUCUCCUGAAUUGAAGAACUUAAUCAUGACUAUGAGGCCUAGAUACUUACUGUGUUUUCAGAUAUUCGUAGUUGAUACUGUUAUUUGCGCUCAUGAUAAAUGUGUGAAUCUGUUCAUUUUCAUUUU